GUUCAUGUAGCCAAGUGGUUAAGGCGUUGCACUUAAGAUGCAACAUCGAGGGUUCGAUUUCCUCCAUGAAUA
Molecule: transfer RNA, 72 nt
Filed under: Alosa alosa (allis shad)
Lineage: Eukaryota; Metazoa; Chordata; Actinopteri; Clupeiformes; Clupeidae
Description: tRNA-Leu
Rfam family: tRNA
About the family: Transfer RNA (tRNA) molecules are approximately 80 nucleotides in length. Their secondary structure includes four short double-helical elements and three loops (D, anti-codon, and T loops).
Source: RNAcentral